CAUAACUAAAUGUAAAGACAUGUGAACUUUGGGAACCAAGAAAAAAGGAUCCACAUCCCAUUGCCAAAACAGUUAUAGGAAGUCAUGAGAGGUCAUUAUUUCAGUCUCUUGCAAUGCAGAAAAGACUAGUUCCAUUUUGCACUGCUGUGGCUCUAACUCAGAACACAGCAUGUGUGCGGGCAGGGGUCAGAUGGGCCAUUGUUCCAUGAGCGACUGCCCAGAAGCCAAUCCCUGGAGCCCAUGGAGUCCAUGGAAGCUGCCCUGGCUGAGCCCAGAGGCUUUCUCUGACCUAAGCAGCCAAAGAGGUGACCUGGCACCUAUCUCAGAAUCCAGAAAGGACACCUACUCAAUAAGUCUCUGAAGAAUGAACGGAAAGGAAUGCAUUAAUAAGUUAAUGAAGUAUGGAAGAGUUACUGAAACUGCUUAAUAUGGUCGUUGCUUCACAUACCUGAUAGGAAAAUCAUCACCCAGUAUUUUUUCUGAAAUAAACUGGGCUCUAGGCCUCCAACAGAUUGGAUGGGACCCACCCCAUCUUCUUUACUUGAGUCCACCGAUUCAAACGCUGAUCUCCUCCGGAAACACCCUCCCAGGAACAAUUGGCCUCAUGCCAGGGGAUACCACAGUGGCAGCCAAAGAGCCAAGUGGUGAUCCCCCAACCCCACCAUGAGGACAGUGCUCCAGGGCUCCCAACUGACCUGAAUUUGUAUGCAGUGAGAUGGUCAGAAAUUCAAGAUGAAGUGUGAGAAGAUGGGCACCUCUUGGGAGUAGCCAGGGCCAGCCUGGAGGUACAUCACCACUUUGCUCUUUGCCUCUCAACCCUCACUCCCCUGUCUCUUGCCCAGUGUAGUCUCCUGCCAAGUGUCUAGUGCUUUCCUGCUGAUCCCAGCUGUUUCUUCCUAGAGGCAGCUGGCAACCAUUCAAACCUCUGAUUCUUUUCUUUUAAAAACCACCAGGGUCCCUCCUUCUCUCAGGGCCAUGGAAAGGGACAGGAGAGAGUGUAGUCUGAUAAAAGUAUUCACGCUAAAGUGUUUGUGGUUAAAUGCAUUCCCCUCCCAGGGAUGUUUGCAGCUUACAUGCUGGCUUCUGGACACCAAAGCCUUAAUGCAAAGAAGUGAAUCUUUAAUAGAUAUUUCUGUUCUAGGAAGAAUGGUGUGGAAGUGGAAGCUUUAGGCAUCUCUUAAAAAUUCACUUUGAGAUAACCAUUCUUAAAACGUAAGGCCAUUCUUGCUGGCAAACCAUGAAAUGUGUGUUGGGAGAGAAGAGGAGGCUCUCAUAAAGCUGGUCUUCUGGGCAGUGUGGCAGUCAUGGGCUGGAAAGCAAGCAGGCAAGGAGGGAUUGGAGAGGAAAGGGUGUUUUUAAAAGACAAUACAGUUAGUUCCUAAGAGAAAGAGUGUUGUCCCAACUCCUGGAGCACUUUAAAAUUCUCCUUCUCUUCUAAAAUUGCACAUUUUCUGAAUGUUUUUAGAUUACUAACUUUAAUAGGUAUAUAAAAGUUUUAAAACUUUCCAGAAUGGGAAUGCAAUAUGGUAUAGCCACUUUGGAAGACAAUUUGGCAGUUUCUUACAAAACGAAAUAUGCUUUUACUAUGUGAUCCAGCAACCAUGCUCCUUGGUAUUUACCAAAGGGGUUGAAAGCUUAUGUCCACACAAAGACCUGACACGGAUAUUUACAGCAGUUUUAUUAAUAAUUACCCACACUUGGAAGCAACCAAGAUGCCUUUCAGUAGGAGAGGGGGCAAAUACAUGGUGAUACAUCCAGAGAGUACGAUGUUAUUCAGCACUAAGAAGUGAGCUAUCAGCCGUGAAAAGACAUGGAGAAACUUUAAGUGUGUAUCACUGAGAGAAGCCAAUCUGGAAGGCUGUAAACUGUAUGAUUCCAACUUGGUGACAUUCUGGAAAAGGCACACCUAUGGGAACUGAGAACAUAUCAGUGGUUGCCAGGGGUGAGGAGGAGAGGGAGGGAGGGAUGAAUAAGUGGAACACAGAGGAUGUUUAGGGCAGUGAACUACUCUAUAUGACACCACAAUUAUAGACACAUUUAUCCAAACCCACAGAAUGCACAAGAGUGAACCAUAAUGUAAACUGUGAGUUUUAGGUGACAAUGACGUGUCCCUGUAGGUUCAUCUGUUGUAACAAAUGUCCCGUCUGGUGGGGCUGGUGAUAAUGGGGAGGCUAUGCAUGGGGGGAGCAGAGGGCAUUUUGGAAAGCUUUGUACUCUCCCCUCAGUUUUGUUGUGAAUCAAAAACUCUAAAAAAUUGUCUUAAAAAAAACUUACCAAUAUUGAUUAUUUUUCUGUAGAUUAUGUAUUAUCUUAAAUGUUCACUGCCCACAUCUGCCAACUAGAAACAAUGAGUUUAGGGCAAAAGGACUUUUUGCCUUAAGACACUCAGAAUAGUAUCAACCAUGAUAUUGUCUGCAGGUUAUAAAGGGUCUCCCAUUAAUAUAGAUAAUUAUCUUUUCAUAAGGGUUAGUUAAGUGCCCUAAGCUCUUUUUUUUCAUUUAAAAUUUGCAUGCUCGUAUUCUUUUUUUAUUGAAAUGUAUAUUUUUCCUUAUUACUUACAUCAUACUAGUUUAUUAGAAAAAAAGUAGGAAACAGUAAUCAUAAAAAAGAAAAGUCCUCUAUAAUUCCACAAUGUGGAAUUCUUCUCAUUUUUUCUAUGCAUAUUAAUUUCUAAAAAUCAGGAUCAUUCUGUAAUUAGUACAAUGCAAUGCUUUUUUUACAUUUAAUAGAAUGUAAAUAUCUUUUUAUGUCAUUAAAUAUUAUUCUACAUAAUAGACAUGUCAAGGCCAUCUGUGGAGACUCUACCCUUACCCCACAUUGAGAACUGGAAGUGGUAACCUUUGUGCCAUGUGAUCACACCUUAGAACACCACUUUGUUCACUCACUGGUCACCCAACAAACAUCACACACACACACACACACACUGACUUGCUCAUCAAGUUCCCUCUCCCAGGAGUUUGGAAUUGGAAAGACUGAGUCCAUUAGCCCAUGAUGGAGGGCUUUGUACUGAACAGUCCUGAACAGUCCUGGGGCUGGUGAAAUAAUUAAAAAACAUACCACCUGCAAACAGAAGUUCUGAGGGAACAGAGAUACCAUGAACAGAUGAAGUGAGCUUAUCUACUACAAAUGGAGGCAGGAUAGCAGGGUGGGCCUGUAGGGAGAGGAAGGACAGGAGACACAGGGGUGUAUGGGUGGGAAGGGGGCCUUGGUACCUAUUUCUAGUCCAGCUCCAUGAGCUAGCUGAAGUACGUGUCUGUGUUCAUGAGUUUGUUUUGACUUUCUAAUAUUUACUUUACUUUACCUGUUUACUUAUUUCAGCAGAUUUGAAUGGAAGAGAUUGACUGAGAUAAUCUAUUAAUGUCACUUUUAAUAGCUGCCUAGUUUUCUCUUGUAUAAAUACAUAAUUCAAUUAGAGAAUUCCUUGUUGGCUAUGUAUUAAAUUGUUUCUAUUUCUUAACUAUUCUAAAGAACACUAUAGUAAACAUUAUUGCAACAAAAUCUUUGCAAAUAUUUCCCUAGGGUAAAUGUUUAGAUGAGGAAUCAUGGGUUGAGGGGAAUUAAUAUCAUUUAUGUGCUCCAUUCCUAGGAGUUGUAUAUGUGAUAAUUCCCAUUGCCUGUAUCCUUACGAAUAUUAAAUUGACAAUUAAAAAAAGAAACCAUUGUGCCAGGUGAAGUGGCUAAAAAUACUGUCAGUAUUAAUUUACAUUUCUUUCCUUACUGGAGUUGCACAUAUUCCAUAUAUUUAUUGCUUACUUUUCUUCCAUUAGGAAAUACUUGGGGUGUCUUUUUCUCAUUUUCUUCUGUUUAUUUAUUUGUUUAUAUCUUCUUGAUUUAUGAGUGUCUCUCCUUUUAAAAUUAAGGAUAUUAAACUUGAUUCUCACAUAUUGAAGUUACUUUCUCCUCAUUAGUUAUUUGCUUUUUACUUUUAUAUAUGAGACAUUUUGAUAUAUGUUAAAAAUUUCUUUGUUUUGUCAUGUGUAGUGAUAUUUUCCCCAUUGGUUGAUUCCUUUGAUGUCAUACCUAGAAAGUAGUUCACCUAGCUAAGAUUAUGUAAUUGCAUGCUUUCAUUUUUAAGUGUGCAUGUUCAAAAAAAUAGUGAAAUACCGUAGUGUUUAGAAAUCAAACACUUAAGUGACAUACAGUGGAGACAAAAAGCACCAUAUACUAAAAUAAAGACAAGAUCUAUCACUCACCGUUUGUAAAUUUUAGGCUCACAGAAAGUUACCAAUUAUAAACCCAUUCUGUCCAUAGAAAAACAAAGCAGGAGUUUUAUCUCAAAAUUAAGUUUUAAAGAAGAUUUCUAUCCUGUCUUAGACUUGUAUGUAUUAUUUAAGUCAUUAAACAUGAGCAGGGAAAAAAUGAGACAUGAAAAUAUUAAGUAAUUCAGGUGGCAAAGACUUACAACUAUUUCCAUCCUGCCUGUGGAUAAACUUGCAGAGGCAAUGAUGAGAGAAAAUUCACUCUAGACCUCCCAAUUCAGACAACUCCAUUCCUUUGUGUGCUGUAGUGAGAAUAGUUAUUUUCUGAAUAUGAACUACUGUCAUCUAGUGGAUCACAGAGGGCAUCACUGACGUGCUCCUAUUCAGAGACAUCUCUGGAGAGUCUUCGGCCAAAGAAGUCUGCAGCCCGUAAUUCACAUGAUUAUUCAUACUAUCAUUUUUGGUGUCUUGUAGCUAAAGAGAGAAAUAAAAUGAGGUAUUGAAGUUUUACAAGAGUUGUUCAGUAAUGAGAGAUGGCACAGACCAGGGAUGCGAGAGGUGGAGGAAGAGAGGAAAAGAGGAGAUUAAAACCAACAUUAUCAAGGGCAUAUGGCAAACUAGCUGCUCUGUAUCUGAAGUAGAGGUAUUACCCUAUUUUACAGAAGCAGAAAUGGAAGCCCAGAGAGGUCUAGCAACUUUCUGCAGUCACACAGCCAAUGAAUGCAGGAGCUGGGAUUUGAAAUAAUAGGAAUAAGUGAAGAUGACAGGAAAGGUCAAAAUCUACCAUGAGAUACAUGGAGGGGAACAGCUUUUUAAUUGACAGAUGGCUUGUGAGUCACACAUCAAUCCUGAAGGGUAAUGUUCAGAUAGACAACUUAGAGUUGAACACUGGAUUCUUUCUGAAUUAUAUCAAACAUAAAAAUGCAUGUCUUAGUAAGUGUGCCUUUGGUUGGUAUGUGGACGGUCUCCUACUCAGGAUGGUUUGACUUCAUCAUGGUGCAAAAGCAAUAUGCAUUCAAUAGAAACCACACUCCAAUUUUGAAUUUAGAUCUGUUUCUAGGUUGGCAGGAUGGGAUUGACCUUCCCUCAUGCUGCUGGGCAGGACAGUGAUCCGCAGCUCCCAGGUAGUCAUGCCAUCACAAGUGUCAACAGCUGAGACACUGACAGCUGCCCUGUCCCCUGACAACUGUUCUAUUUU
This is a long non-coding RNA of Manis pentadactyla (Chinese pangolin), 5397 nucleotides long. RefSeq lists it as uncharacterized. NCBI's taxonomy places the organism in Eukaryota, Metazoa, Chordata, Mammalia, Pholidota, Manidae. The transcript has 4 exons. The record is from RefSeq and is a predicted model, not a curated record.